UUGUUGUGUUGAAGGCGGGCUCACAGUGAGCAGCAGAGAGGAGCGGCUCGGUGCGGAGUGACACGGCGUUAUCUUUUACAUGAUUAAAACACUAAACAAAGAGGAAUACUCACUCGGAUCCACAGAAACACCUCUGAAACAUCCAGUCCGUCAUGGAGUCUUAUGACAUUUUAGCUAACCAGCCGGUGGUGAUCGAUAAUGGCUCGGGGGUUAUCAAGGCUGGCUUUGCAGGAGACCAGAUCCCCAAAUACUGCUUCCCUAACUAUGUGGGGCGUCCCAAGCAUGUGCGUGUGAUGGCAGGAGCCCUGGAGGGAGACCUCUUCAUCGGACCCAAGGCAGAGGUAACACACACACACACAUGUAAAGUUUGAGAUAAUCUCAUAGAAGAGUUCCUAUUGGAUCAAACUUUGAUGAUAUCGUUUCCUCUGGUUCGG
Non-coding RNA from Labrus bergylta (ballan wrasse), 434 nucleotides. Lineage: Eukaryota; Metazoa; Chordata; Actinopteri; Labriformes; Labridae. The record is from RefSeq and is a predicted model, not a curated record.